Molecule: long non-coding RNA, 212 nt
Filed under: Sorghum bicolor (sorghum)
Lineage: Eukaryota; Viridiplantae; Streptophyta; Magnoliopsida; Poales; Poaceae
Description: long non-coding RNA (SBIC_LNC015780)
Source: RNAcentral
CCUCCACUCUAUCUCUCUCAAUCUAGUAGAAACUAGAAGAUCUAUUUCUACCUUACAUUGAUUGCUAAGCCUAAAAAGAAAUAUUAAUUAGAGAAGAGGUUUUCCUUCGAGGGCACCCCUCAGUCUCUAUGAUAAUUUCUUCAUGUCUUCUCCAGGGGCCAGGGGGCCUUGCUUAUAUAGUCCUCCCCUUCUAUGCGUUUUUGGGUCGAUAG